UACCGAGGGGGCAAGCGUUAUUCGGAAUUAUUGGGCGUAAAGGGCGCGUAGGCGGCCUGGCAAGUGGAAGGUGAAAUCCCUCGGCUUAACCGAGGAACUGCCUUCCAAACUGCUUGGCUUGAGUCCGGGAGAGGUGAGUGGAAUUCCCAGUGUAGCGGUGAAAUGCGUAGAUAUUGGGAGGAACACCAGUGGCGAAGGCGGCUCACUGGACCGGAACUGACGCUGAUGCGCGAAAGCGUGGGGAGCAAACGGG
RNAcentral lists this ribosomal RNA (253 nucleotides) under uncultured bacterium. RNAcentral describes it as "partial 16S ribosomal RNA". It matches the Rfam family "Bacterial small subunit ribosomal RNA", at positions 524 to 776 of the family's 1533-position model. The record is from RNAcentral.